This 145-nucleotide long non-coding RNA is filed under the name Neodiprion lecontei (redheaded pine sawfly). RNAcentral's name for it is "uncharacterized LOC107219973". Lineage: Eukaryota; Metazoa; Arthropoda; Insecta; Hymenoptera; Diprionidae. The record is from RNAcentral.
UGGUUCCACACCUUGGCAAAAAGGAGAUAAGAACGGUCAGCAAUCCGGUGACAGCAAGGAUGGUUCCACACCUUGGCAAAAAGGAGAUAAGAACGGUCAGCAAUCCGGUGACAGCAAGGAUGGUUCCACACCUUGGCAAAAAGGA